UACGAAGGGGGCUAGCGUUGUUCGGAAUUACUGGGCGUAAAGCGCGCGCAGGCGGUCUUCCAAGUCAGUGGUGAAAGCCUGGAGCUCAACUCCAGAACUGCCAUUGAAACUGUGAGACUUGAGUACGAGAGAGGUGAGUGGAAUUCCCAGUGUAGAGGUGAAAUUCGUAGAUAUUGGGAAGAACACCAGUGGCGAAGGCGGCUCACUGGCUCGUAACUGACGCUCAGGCGCGACAGCGUGGGGAUCAAACAGG
This 253-nucleotide ribosomal RNA is filed under the name uncultured bacterium. RNAcentral describes it as "partial 16S ribosomal RNA". It matches the Rfam family "Bacterial small subunit ribosomal RNA", at positions 524 to 776 of the family's 1533-position model. The record is from RNAcentral.